Molecule: unclassified non-coding RNA, 20 nt
Filed under: Dictyostelium discoideum
Lineage: Eukaryota; Evosea; Eumycetozoa; Dictyosteliales; Dictyosteliaceae
Source: RNAcentral
AGAACUGUUAACCAAUGUGA